UACGUAGGCAGCGAGCGUUAUCCGGAGUUACUGGGCGUAAAGGGCGUGUAGGCGGUUAGUUAAGUCUGGCGUGAAAGCUCUCGGCUAAACCGGGAGAGGUCGUUGGAUACUGGCUGACUAGAGGACGGUAGAGGCGUGUGGAAUUCCGGGUGUAGUGGUGAAAUGCGUAGAGAUCCGGAGGAACACCAGUGGCGAAGGCGACACGCUGGGCCGUACCUGACGCUAAAGCGCGACAGCAUGGGGAGCAAACGGG
This 253-nucleotide ribosomal RNA is filed under the name uncultured bacterium. RNAcentral's name for it is "partial 16S ribosomal RNA". It matches the Rfam family "Bacterial small subunit ribosomal RNA", at positions 524 to 776 of the family's 1533-position model. The record is from RNAcentral.